UCCGAGUGGUUCCUGCUAAAGGAACCUUUUGUCAGUCGUAAAACCACUAAUGAAUAAGGGGUGGGCAAGUUCUGGUGUCAGCCGCCGCGGUAAAACCAGCACCUCAAGUGGUCAGGAUGAUUAUUGGGCCUAAAGCAUCCGUAGCCUGGUGCAUAAGUUUUCGGUUAAAUCCAUAUGCUCAACAUAUGGGCUGCCGGGAAUACUGUGCACCUAGGGAGUGGGAGAGGAAGACGGUACUCGGUAGGAAGGGGUAAAAUCCUUUGAUCUAUUGAUGACCACCUGUGGCGAAGGCGGUCUUCCAGAACACGUUCGACGGUGAGGGAUGAAAGCUGGGGGAGCAAACCGGAUUAGAUACCCGGGUAGUCCCAGCUGUAAACUAUGCAAACUCAGUGAUGCAUUGGCAUGUAGCUAAUGCAGUGCCGCAGGGAAGCCGUUAAGUUUGCCGCCUGGGAAGUACGUACGCAAGUAUGAAACUUAAAGGAAUUGGCGGGGGAGCACCACAAGGGGUGAAGCCUGCGGUUCAAUUGGAGUCAACGCCAGAAAUCUUACCCGGAGAGACAGCAGAAUGAAGGUCAAGCUGA
RNAcentral lists this ribosomal RNA (581 nucleotides) under uncultured archaeon. RNAcentral's name for it is "bacterial SSU rRNA". It matches the Rfam family "Archaeal small subunit ribosomal RNA", at positions 380 to 962 of the family's 1478-position model. The record is from RNAcentral.